GAGAAGAGGGAUCAUUACUGAGUUUACGCUCUACAACCCUUUGUGAACAUACCUAUAACUGUUGCUUCGGCGGGUAGGGUCUCCGUGACCCUCCCGGCCUCCCGCCCCCGGGCGGGUCGGCGCCCGCCGGAGGAUAACCAAACUCUGAUUUAACGACGUUUCUUCUGAGUGGUACAAGCAAAUAAUCAAAACUUUUAACAACGGAUCUCUUGGUUCUGGCAUCGAUGAAGAACGCAGCGAAAUGCGAUAAGUAAUGUGAAUUGCAGAAUUCAGUGAAUCAUCGAAUCUUUGAACGCACAUUGCGCCCGCCAGCAUUCUGGCGGGCAUGCCUGUUCGAGCGUCAUUUCAACCCUCAAGCUCUGCUUGGUGUUGGGGCCCUACAGCUGAUGUAGGCCCUCAAAGGUAGUGGCGGACCCUCCCGGAGCCUCCUUUGCGUAGUAACUUUACGUCUCGCACUGGGAUCCGGAGGGACUCUUGCCGUAAAACCCCCAAUUCUCCAAAGGUUGACCUCGGAUCAGGU
RNAcentral lists this ribosomal RNA (520 nucleotides) under Colletotrichum gloeosporioides. Its description in RNAcentral is "eukaryotic LSU rRNA". The stretch from base 190 to 343 matches the Rfam family "5.8S ribosomal RNA". The record is from RNAcentral. Lineage: Eukaryota; Fungi; Ascomycota; Sordariomycetes; Glomerellales; Glomerellaceae.